UAGGGAAUAUUGCAAAAUGGGCGAAAGCCCGAUGCAGCAACGCCGCGUGGGCGAUGAAGGCCUUCGGGUCGUAAAGCCCUUUUUGAGGGGAUGAGGAAGGACAGUACCCUCAGAAUUAGCCUCGGCUAACUACGUGCCAGCAGCCGCGGUAAAACGUAGGAGGCGAGCGUUAUCCGGAUUUACUGGGCGUAAAGCGCGUGCAGGCGGAUUGGAGAGUUGGAUGUGAAAGCUCCCGGCUUAACUGGGAGAGGUCGUUCAAUACUUCCAGUCUUGAGUGCAGUAGAGGGGAGUGGAAUUCCGGGUGUAGUGGUGAAAUGCGUAGAUAUCCGGAGGAACACCAGUGGCGAAAGCGGCUUCCUGGACUGUAACUGACGCUCAGACGCGAAAGCUAGGGUAGCAAACG
Molecule: ribosomal RNA, 403 nt
Filed under: uncultured bacterium
Lineage: Bacteria
Description: bacterial SSU rRNA
Rfam family: Bacterial small subunit ribosomal RNA
Source: RNAcentral